Molecule: ribosomal RNA, 321 nt
Filed under: uncultured bacterium
Lineage: Bacteria
Description: bacterial SSU rRNA
Rfam family: Bacterial small subunit ribosomal RNA
Source: RNAcentral
GAUGAACGCUAGCGGCGUGCUUAACACAUGCAAGUCGAACGGGGCGAAGUGAUAGCUUGCUAUUAUGGAGCCUAGUGGCAAACGGGUGAGUAACGCGUAGGCAACCUGCCCUUCAGAUGGGGACAACACCUCGAAAGGGGUGCUAAUACCGAAUGACGUUUCCUAGUCGCAUGACCUGGAAACCAAAGGCCGGGCAACCGGUCACUGAAGGGUGGGCCUGCGUCUGAUUAGCUAGUUGGUGGGGUAACGGCUCACCAAGGCGACGAUCAGUAGCCGGUCUGAGAGGAUGAACGGCCACAUUGGGACUGAGACACGGCCCAA